Molecule: long non-coding RNA, 1266 nt
Filed under: Pan troglodytes (chimpanzee)
Lineage: Eukaryota; Metazoa; Chordata; Mammalia; Primates; Hominidae
Description: lincRNA
Source: RNAcentral
GUUCACUCCCAGGUCGUUUUCCCUUUCAGCUGCAAUGCCGGGAUUUUAAAUAGCAGAGAUGAAAGGCCCCUGCCCCCGCCUCCCUCCUCCCCUGAGUUCAUGUAUUAUGAAUGAAACGGCAGCCUCGCUGCUUCCUGAGGUGCUCCACUUCAGGCUGGGGUGCAAUGGCUCGAUCUCGGCUCAGUGCAACCUCUGCUUCCCGGGUUCAAGUGAUUCUCCUGCGUCAGCCUCCCAAGCAGCUGUGAAUACAGGUUGGAGUGCAGUGGUGCUGUGUCUGGAGUUUGUUCCUGCCGUUGGGUUUGUGGUCUUGCUGACUUCAAGAAUGAAGCCACGGACCUUCACGUCCAUCGCCUUGGCUUAGUGCAUGUCACCAAAAAUUCUCCAGGAAUUUCAUAGUUUGGACCUUGGUGGCAUGGCUGGCCCGGGAUUAUCCAUGCAGGGAGGCCUGAUCCUGUGACAGCUGGCUGCAGCAGGGGGCUGCCCAUCUUCUGUGCUUUGUGGUACAUAUCUGUGUCACCAAAGUAGCGGCCUCGGUACAGCAAGCCUUUCGUCUGCUGCUUCUCCGUCCAGCAGUUGUUCCAGAGGUUGGCGAUAUAAUCAUCUUUCACAUUCGGUUUGACUGUUUGGAGGCUGGAGCCUGUGUACUCCUCGGAGAAAAUGCCUGCCACAUAGUAGAUGACACUCAGGUGGUCAGUGACUCGCCUGUGAUGUGGCCCACAAACAGUCUUGGGCUCAAACUGUAGGGUGGACUGGAGACCAUGAGCUGGCUGAGAGCUGACAUGAGGAUGAGGAUGGGUAUCAGCUGCACAAACACCCGCAAGCUGCCGUCACUCCGCUUCUCCCUGCGGCCCUGCCUUUGCUGAUACACACACAGGCACAUUGGAAACGCAGUAGAAAAUGGCUGCCAAUUUAAAACCAGAAGUUAAGAAGAGCAAACUCGAAUGUACAGCAAGAGAGCUUCAGGCUGGACUGGCUUCCAGCAGAAGUGGGACUGGAAACCUCGGAUUCUAUUGUCUCUUCUCUGUGAAGUGGGAAAACAUGUCAGUAUCUGAACUUGAGCUUGGUAAUUACUGCUCAUUUCUCAACCUUUUCCAAGCCACGUAACUCCCCUAAGGCUUAGUUUUCUUAUCUGUGAAUUGCGAGAUGGUAUGUUCUUCAUCACGAGGUUGCUAUAAAGACUGAAUGAGAUAAUGUGUGUGGAAGCACCAAGCAUGGUCCUUGGCAUGCAGUAGGUGCUCAAUAAAUAUGAACUGGAGUACACAUGCA